Molecule: ribosomal RNA, 730 nt
Filed under: uncultured bacterium
Lineage: Bacteria
Description: bacterial SSU rRNA
Rfam family: Bacterial small subunit ribosomal RNA
Source: RNAcentral
AACAGGAUUAGAUACCCUGGUAGUCCACGCCGUAAACGAUGUCGACUUGGAGGUUGUGCCCUUGAGGCGUGGCUUCCGGAGCUAACGCGUUAAGUCGACCGCCUGGGGAGUACGGCCGCAAGGUUAAAACUCAAAUGAAUUGACGGGGGCCCGCACAAGCGGUGGAGCAUGUGGUUUAAUUCGAUGCAACGCGAAGAACCUUACCUACUCUUGACAUCCAGAGAACUUAGCAGAGAUGCUUUGGUGCCUUCGGGAACUCUGAGACAGGUGCUGCAUGGCUGUCGUCAGCUCGUGUUGUGAAAUGUUGGGUUAAGUCCCGCAACGAGCGCAACCCUUAUCCUUUGUUGCCAGCGGUUAGGCCGGGAACUCAAAGGAGACUGCCAGUGAUAAACUGGAGGAAGGUGGGGAUGACGUCAAGUCAUCGUGGCCCUUACGAGUAGGGCUACACACGUGCUACAAUGGCGCAUACAAAGAGAAGCGACCUCGCGAGAGCAAGCGGACCUCAUAAAGUGCGUCGUAGUCCGGAUUGGAGUCUGCAACUCGACUCCAUGAAGUCGGAAUCGCUAGUAAUCGUGGAUCAGAAUGCCACGGUGAAUACGUUCCCGGGCCUUGUACACACCGCCCGUCACACCAUGGGAGUGGGUUGCAAAAGAAGUAGGUAGCUUAACCUUCGGGAGGGCGCUCACCACUUUGUGAUUCAUGACUGGGGUGAAGUCGUAACAAGGUAACC